RNAcentral lists this ribosomal RNA (252 nucleotides) under uncultured bacterium. RNAcentral describes it as "partial 16S ribosomal RNA". It matches the Rfam family "Bacterial small subunit ribosomal RNA", at positions 15 to 253 of the family's 1533-position model. The record is from RNAcentral.
GAUCCUGGCUCAGGAUGAACGCUAGCUACAGGCUUAACACAUGCAAGUCGAGGGGCAGCAUGAACUUAGCUUGCUAAGUUUGAUGGCGACCGGCGCACGGGUGAGUAACACGUAUCCAACCUUCCGUUUACUCAGGGAUAGCCUUUCGAAAGAAAGAUUAAUACCUGAUAGUAUGGUGAGAUUGCAUGANAACACUAUUAAAGUAUUUUAGUUAGGUAAACGAGUGGGGAUGUCCGUUCCUAGUUAGGUAGG